This is a non-coding RNA of Acanthosepion pharaonis, 109 nucleotides long. The record is from the annotation of a GenBank genome assembly. NCBI's taxonomy places the organism in Eukaryota, Metazoa, Mollusca, Cephalopoda, Sepiida, Sepiidae.
GUCGUAUCACGUUGAAACAGCGGUUCUCGUUCGAUCACCGAAGUUAAGAAACGUUGAUAUUGGUCAGUAACGAGAUGGGUGACCGCUUGGGAAUCCCAGAUGCUGUAAC